RNAcentral lists this unclassified non-coding RNA (200 nucleotides) under Glomeromycotina sp. RNAcentral describes it as "partial contains 5.8S ribosomal RNA and internal transcribed spacer 2". The stretch from base 1 to 71 matches the Rfam family "5.8S ribosomal RNA", at positions 84 to 154 of the family's 154-position model. Lineage: Eukaryota; Fungi; Glomeromycota. The record is from RNAcentral.
GUGAAUCAUCAAAUUUUUGAACGCAAAUUGCACUCCCUGGUAUUCCGGAGAGUAUGCCUGUUUGAGGGUCAGUAAAAUAAAAAUCGGUGUUGUGUUGACGUUUUGUGCUGUGACGCAUCGGGUUUGGGUCGUUUUAGCAUUGGUUUAGUGACCUAAAAUUUUGCAUGUUUUUAGCAAGUAUGUAAAUAAUUUUCGUGUGU